This is a long non-coding RNA of Micropterus salmoides (largemouth bass), 531 nucleotides long. RefSeq lists it as uncharacterized. NCBI's taxonomy places the organism in Eukaryota, Metazoa, Chordata, Actinopteri, Centrarchiformes, Centrarchidae. The record is from RefSeq and is a predicted model, not a curated record. The transcript has 2 exons.
CUGGGAGGAGCCAGAGGAGAGGACGCAACAAUCACAAUACAUAGGAGAGUGUUGUGGUGGCAGCCCGGCUGACGGUUCACUCACCUCCGUCGAGUCAGCUGAGCUCGCCCACCUGCCCUCUCCCCUCGGACUUCCCCCACACGGUUCUCCCUCGUGCCUCGCCAGUCAGCCUGCCACCACACUCCUCCACCAAAAUCAGUUUCCUGACCAAUUCCUGGUUAGUUACACACAAAAUGCAGAAUUUGACCCACUGUGUCUAAACUCUGCACACAAGCCAAAUAAGAAACAACACCUGGAGAUAAACUCACUUCUACUUCAAAUUUCUGCAAUCAAAACCUAGCACUUCUUUUUUCAAAAGGGCAUUUUUGGAUCAAUGGAAACAUGCAUCAUGUUUCUUAAACAUUCACAGCAGCAGCAACACACUGAGCAUUAUUCAACACAAAAAUGUUUAGUGCUUUGUAGACUUUUUUUUAUUUCAUCAAACAGAUCUCUGGGAAAGAUUGUUUAGUAAAUCUACUCACAUUUCAAUAA